UAGGGAAUCUUCGGCAAUGGACGAAAGUCUGACCGAGCAACGCCGCGUGAGUGAAGAAGGUUUUCGGAUCGUAAAACUCUGUUGUUAGAGAAGAACAAGGACGUUAGUAACUGAACGUCCCCUGACGGUAUCUAACCAGAAAGCCACGGCUAACUACGUGCCAGCAGCCGCGGUAAUACGUAGGUGGCAAGCGUUGUCCGGAUUUAUUGGGCGUAAAGCGAGCGCAGGCGGUUUCUUAAGUCUGAUGUGAAAGCCCCCGGCUCAACCGGGGAGGGUCAUUGGAAACUGGGGGACUUGAGUGCAGAAGAGGAGAGUAGAAUUCCAUGUGUAGCGGUGAAAUGCGUAGAUAUAUGGAGGAACACCAGUGGCGAAGGCGGCUCUCGGGUCUGUAACUGACGCUGAGGCUCGAAAGCGUGGGGAGCAAACAGG
This 429-nucleotide ribosomal RNA is filed under the name Gemmatimonadota bacterium. RNAcentral's name for it is "Gemmatimonadetes bacterium partial 16S ribosomal RNA". It matches the Rfam family "Bacterial small subunit ribosomal RNA", at positions 355 to 776 of the family's 1533-position model. The record is from RNAcentral. Lineage: Bacteria; Pseudomonadati; Gemmatimonadota.